GACGAACGCUGGCGGCGUGCUUAACACAUGCAAGUCGAACGGAAAGGCCCUGCUUUUGUGGGGUGCUCGAUUGCCGAACGGGUGAGUAACACGUGAGUAACCUGCCCUUGACUUUGGGAUAACUUCAGGAAACUGGGGCUAAUACCGGAUAGGAGCUCCUGCUGCAUGGUGGGGGUUGGAAAGUUUCGGCGGUUGGGGAUGGACUCGCGGCUUAUCAGCUUGUUGGUGGGGUAGUGGCUUACCAAGGCUUUGACGGGUAGCCGGCCUGAGAGGGUGACCGGCCACAAUGGGACUGCGAGACGGACCAGAAUCCUACCUGCGGCAGCAGUGGGGAAUAUUGCACAAUGGGCGGAAGUGUGAUGCAGCAGCGCUGCGUGCGGGAUGACGGGCUUUGGGUUGUAAACCGCUUUCGACUGUGCCGAAGCGUGAGUGACGGUAAUGGGUAAAGAAGCACCGGCUAACUACGUG
This 468-nucleotide ribosomal RNA is filed under the name uncultured bacterium. Its description in RNAcentral is "partial 16S ribosomal RNA". It matches the Rfam family "Bacterial small subunit ribosomal RNA", at positions 28 to 507 of the family's 1533-position model. The record is from RNAcentral.